Molecule: ribosomal RNA, 474 nt
Filed under: Ralstonia sp. CAFB-naph-3
Lineage: Bacteria; Pseudomonadati; Pseudomonadota; Betaproteobacteria; Burkholderiales; Burkholderiaceae
Description: bacterial SSU rRNA
Rfam family: Bacterial small subunit ribosomal RNA
Source: RNAcentral
GGUGCAAGCGUUAAUCGGAAUUACUGGGCGUAAAGCGUGCGCAGGCGGUUUUGUAAGACUGUCGUGAAAUCCCCGGGCUCAACCUGGGAAUGGCGAUGGUGACUGCAAGGCUAGAGUUUGGCAGAGGGGGGUAGAAUUCCACGUGUAGCAGUGAAAUGCGUAGAUAUGUGGAGGAACACCGAUGGCGAAGGCAGCCCCCUGGGUCAAAACUGACGCUCAUGCACGAAAGCGUGGGGAGCAAACAGGAUUAGAUACCCUGGUAGUCCACGCCCUAAACGAUGUCUACUAGUUGUCGGGUCUUAAUUGACUUGGUAACGCAGCUAACGCGUGAAGUAGACCGCCUGGGGAGUACGGUCGCAAGAUUAAAACUCAAAGGAAUUGACGGGGACCCGCACAAGCGGUGGAUGAUGUUGGAUUAAUUCGAUGCAACGCCAAAAACCUUACCUACCCUUUGACAUGGCUGGAAUCCCCCAA